This 29-nucleotide non-coding RNA is filed under the name Mus musculus (house mouse). The record is from RNAcentral. Lineage: Eukaryota; Metazoa; Chordata; Mammalia; Rodentia; Muridae.
UCACUGGAGCAGCCUGUUUUCUCUUUGUG